GUGCCUGUGGCUCAAAGGAGUAGGGCACUGGCCCUAAAUGCCAGAAGUGGUGGGUUCAAACCCAGCCCUGGACA
This 74-nucleotide transfer RNA is filed under the name Otolemur garnettii (small-eared galago). It matches the Rfam family "tRNA". Rfam says of the family: Transfer RNA (tRNA) molecules are approximately 80 nucleotides in length. The record is from Rfam by way of RNAcentral. Lineage: Eukaryota; Metazoa; Chordata; Mammalia; Primates; Galagidae.